RNAcentral lists this transfer RNA (73 nucleotides) under Petromyzon marinus (sea lamprey). Its description in RNAcentral is "tRNA-Ala (AGC) (tRNA-Ala-AGC-15-1)". It matches the Rfam family "tRNA". Rfam says of the family: Transfer RNA (tRNA) molecules are approximately 80 nucleotides in length. Their secondary structure includes four short double-helical elements and three loops (D, anti-codon, and T loops). The record is from RNAcentral. Lineage: Eukaryota; Metazoa; Chordata; Hyperoartia; Petromyzontiformes; Petromyzontidae.
GGGGGAUUAGCUCAGGUGGUAGAGCGCUCGCUUAGCAUGCGAGAGGUAGUGGGAUCGAUGCCCACGUUCUCCA